This 253-nucleotide ribosomal RNA is filed under the name uncultured bacterium. RNAcentral describes it as "partial 16S ribosomal RNA". It matches the Rfam family "Bacterial small subunit ribosomal RNA", at positions 524 to 776 of the family's 1533-position model. The record is from RNAcentral.
UACGUAGGUGGCAAGCGUUAUCCGGAUUUACUGGGUGUAAAGGGAGCGUAGACGGCUUUGCAAGCCAGAUGUGAAAGCCCGGGGCUCAACCCCGGGACUGCAUUUGGAACUGUAUGGCUGGAGUGUCGGAGAGGCAGGCGGAAUUCCUAGGGUAGCGGUGAAAUGCGUAGAUAUCAGGAGGAACACCGGUGGCGAAGGCGGCCUGCUGGACUGCGACUGACGUUGAGGCCCGAAAGCGUGGGGAGCAAACAGG